AUACGGAGGGUGCGAGCGUUACUCGGAGUCACUGGGCGUAAAGCGUCCGUAGGCGGUCGGGUAAUUCGGGUGUGAAAGCCCCGGGCUCAACCUGGGAAGUGCACCCGAUACUGCUCGACUCGAGUGCGGGAGAGGAUGGCGGAAUUCCCGGUGUAGCGGUGAAAUGCGUAGAGAUCGGGAGGAACACCAGUGGCGAAGGCGGCCAUCUGGCCCGCAACUGACGCUGAGGGACGAAAGCGUGGGGAGCAAACAGGAUUAGAUACCCUAGUAGUCC
This 274-nucleotide ribosomal RNA is filed under the name uncultured bacterium. RNAcentral describes it as "partial 16S ribosomal RNA". It matches the Rfam family "Bacterial small subunit ribosomal RNA", at positions 523 to 796 of the family's 1533-position model. The record is from RNAcentral.